Molecule: ribosomal RNA, 503 nt
Filed under: uncultured bacterium
Lineage: Bacteria
Description: partial 16S ribosomal RNA
Rfam family: Bacterial small subunit ribosomal RNA
Source: RNAcentral
AUUGAACGCUGGCGGCAGGCUUAACACAUGCAAGUCGAGCGGGGUGAUGGUGCUUGCACUAUCACUUAGCGGCGGACGGGUGAGUAAUGCUUAGGAAUCUGCCUAUUAGUGGGGGACAACAUCUCGAAAGGGAUGCUAAUACCGCAUACGUCCUACGGGAGAAAGCAGGGGAUCACUUGUGACCUUGCGCUAAUAGAUGAGCCUAAGUCGGAUUAGCUAGUUGGUGGGGUAAAGGCCUACCAAGGCGACGAUCUGUAGCGGGUCUGAGAGGAUCAUCCGCCACACUGGGACUGAGGCACGGCCCAGACUCCUACGGGAGGCAGCAGUGGGGAAUAUUGGACAAUGGGGGGAACCCUGAUCCAGCCAUGCCGCGUGUGUGAAGAAGGCCUUAUGGUUGUAAAGCACUUUAAGCGAGGAGGAGGCUCUUUUGGUUAAUACCCAAGAUGAGUGGACGUUACUCGCAGAAUAAGCACCGGCUAACUCUGUGCCAGCAGCCGCAGUAA